Molecule: ribosomal RNA, 333 nt
Filed under: uncultured bacterium
Lineage: Bacteria
Description: bacterial SSU rRNA
Rfam family: Bacterial small subunit ribosomal RNA
Source: RNAcentral
CGCGUAGGCGGAUGCUUAAGUCAGAGGUGAAACGCCCAGGGCUCAACCUUGGAACUGCCUUUGAUACUGGGCAUCUUGAGUAUGGGAGAGGUGAGUGGAACUCCGAGUGUAGAGGUGAAAUUCGUAGAUAUUCGGAAGAACACCAGUGGCGAAGGCGACUCACUGGCCCAUUACUGACGCUGAGGCGCGAAAGCGUGGGGAGCAAACAGGAUUAGAUACCCUGGUAGUCCCAACGCCGUAAACGAUGAGUGCUAGUUGUCGGCAUGCAUGCAUGUCGGUGACGCAGCUAACGCAUUAAGCACUCCGCCUGGGGAGUACGGUCGCAAGAUUAAA